UACGUAGGCAGCAAGCGUUGUUCGGAAUUACUGGGCGUAAAGAGUGUGUAGGCGGUGCUCUAAGUCUGUUGUGAAAUCUCCCGGCUUAACUGGGAGGGUGCGGCGGAGACUGGAGUGCUAGAGUGUGGGAGAGGUAAGCGGAAUUCCUGGUGUAGCGGUGAAAUGCGUAGAUAUCAGGAGGAACACCUGUGGUGUAGACAGCUUACUUGACCACGACUGACGCUGAGACACGAAAGCGUGGGUAGCAAACAGG
This 253-nucleotide ribosomal RNA is filed under the name uncultured bacterium. RNAcentral's name for it is "partial 16S ribosomal RNA". It matches the Rfam family "Bacterial small subunit ribosomal RNA", at positions 524 to 776 of the family's 1533-position model. The record is from RNAcentral.